This 253-nucleotide ribosomal RNA is filed under the name uncultured bacterium. RNAcentral's name for it is "partial 16S ribosomal RNA". It matches the Rfam family "Bacterial small subunit ribosomal RNA", at positions 524 to 776 of the family's 1533-position model. The record is from RNAcentral.
UACGUAGGGUCCGAGCGUUGUCCGGAAUUAUUGGGCGUAAAGAGCUCGUAGGCGGUUUGUCGCGUCUGCUGUGAAAUCCCGAGGCUCAACCUCGGGCCUGCAGUGGGUACGGGCAGACUGGAGUGCGGUAGGGGAGAAUGGAAUUCCUGGUGUAGCGGUGGGAUGCGCAGAUAUCAGGAGGAACACCGAUGGCGAAGGCAGUUCUCUGGGCCGUAACUGACGCUGAGGAGCGAAAGCGUGGGGAGCGAACAGG